This 503-nucleotide ribosomal RNA is filed under the name uncultured bacterium. RNAcentral describes it as "bacterial SSU rRNA". It matches the Rfam family "Bacterial small subunit ribosomal RNA", at positions 157 to 680 of the family's 1533-position model. The record is from RNAcentral.
CGGCUAUUAAUACCGGAUGAUACUUUUCUGACGCAUGUUAGGAAGGUCAAAGAAUUUCGGUGAAAGAUGGUCUUGCGUCUGAUUAGCUCGUUGGUGGGGUAACGGCCUACCAAGGCGACGAUCAGUAGCCGGCCUGAGAGGGUGUACGGCCACAUUGGGACUGAGACACGGCCCAAACUCCUACGGGAGGCAGCAGUGGGGAAUUUUGCACAAUGGAGGAAACUCUGAUGCAGCGACGCCGCGUGAACGAAGAAGGUUUUCGGAUCGUAAAGUUCUGUCCUGGGUGAAGAUAAUGACGGUAACUCAGGAGGAAGCCCCGGCUAACUACGUGCCAGCAGCCGCGGUAAUACGUAGGGGGCGAGCGUUGUUCGGAAUUAUUGGGCGUAAAGGGUACGUAGGCGGCUCGUUAAGUUUGGCGUUAAAUUCCGGGGCUCAACCCCGGCAAGCGUUGAAAACUGGCGAGCUUGAGUAGUAGAGGGGACAGUGGAAUUCCUAGUGUAGCG